This 246-nucleotide ribosomal RNA is filed under the name uncultured bacterium. Its description in RNAcentral is "partial 16S ribosomal RNA". It matches the Rfam family "Bacterial small subunit ribosomal RNA", at positions 1255 to 1500 of the family's 1533-position model. The record is from RNAcentral.
CCGUGAGGCCGGGCAAAUCCCAAAAAAGGCGUCCCAGUUCGGACUGCAGUCUGCAACCCGACUGCACGAAGCCGGAAUCGCUAGUAAUCGCGGAUCAGAAUGCCGCGGUGAAUACGUUCCCGGGUCUUGUACACACCGCCCGUCACACCAUGGGAGCUGGAAAUGCCCGAAGUCGGUGACCCAACCUUCGGGAGGGAGCCGCCGAAGGCAGGUCCGGUAACUGGGGUGAAGUCGUAACAAGGUAUC